UCUCUUCGGAUUUAACUUUUCUUUGUUUUUUAUAUAGUAAAGAAUUAAAAAAAAUAUAAUAUUAACUAUUGGUCAAUGCUGAUUUCAAUAAUACUGUCUAAAUUUUUCGACAUGUGGUAGUUUAAUUACCAGUAUAACUUUAUUUAGUAAAGUUCUGGUGGAUCAAAGAUCGAGGAAUGAUUUGGUUUUAACUGGUUUGCAUCUUAUGAACGAAGUUCAUAAUAUGAUUUAAAUUGAUGAUUUAUAGUUACACCUAUUGAAAUUCUGUAUCUCAUUGAUAUCCUGGCUUAUCAAUACGAUAUCCUGUAAAUCCACUCACACACAUAAAAUUUAUUCACACACAUAAAUCCU
This is a non-coding RNA of Hydra vulgaris (swiftwater hydra), 351 nucleotides long. The record is from RefSeq and is a predicted model, not a curated record. NCBI's taxonomy places the organism in Eukaryota, Metazoa, Cnidaria, Hydrozoa, Anthoathecata, Hydridae.